This 253-nucleotide ribosomal RNA is filed under the name uncultured bacterium. RNAcentral describes it as "partial 16S ribosomal RNA". It matches the Rfam family "Bacterial small subunit ribosomal RNA", at positions 524 to 776 of the family's 1533-position model. The record is from RNAcentral.
UACGAGGGGGGCAAGCGUUGUUCGGAAUUGUUGGGCGUAAAGAGCGUGUAGGCGGUUUGGUAGGUCCGUUGUGAAAACUCGAGGCUCAACCUCGAGACGCCGAUGGAAACCAUCAGACUAGAGUCCGGAAGAGGAGAGUGGAAUUCCUGGUGUAGCGGUGAAAUGCGCAGAUAUCAGGAAGAACACCCGUGGCUAAGGCGGCUCUCUAGUACGGUACUGACGCUGAGACGCGAAAGCGUGGGGAGCGAACAGG